UUUAACAUUUUGAGUUUCUGGAGAAGGCUGAGCAAGCCCCAUGAUUUCUCCGCAUCUACUUUUCUUCCUUUUUAAAACGAAGUAUGUGGAGCAGAUUAU
Molecule: long non-coding RNA, 99 nt
Organism: Lontra canadensis (Northern American river otter)
Lineage: Eukaryota; Metazoa; Chordata; Mammalia; Carnivora; Mustelidae
Exons: 3
Source: RefSeq, a predicted model, not a curated record